GUGCGAGACCGAUAGCGAACAAGUACCGUGAGGAAAAGAUGAAAAGAACUUUGAAAAGAGAGUUAAAGAGUACCUGAAACUGCUGAAAGGGAAGCGAAUCGUAUCCAGUGUCUAUAAUCUGCGGCAUAUUUCAUUGGCGCGUGAGUACGUGCAGCGUUUUGGAAGCGGUCUCCGCUCCUGUCGUUGUUGUGCAUUUUUUUGCUGGUGCCCUGUGCUGUGGUGGGACGUCAGAGUCAGUUUGUAUGUUGCGGGAAAUGGUUAUCAGGGAGGUAGGUCAUUUCGGUGGCUGUUAUAUCCUGGUGACUAGUCGUCGUGGCCGAGACUGAGGUGCCUACAAUGUGCUUUCGAGUCUACGGAACUCUCGUUUGGUUGUUUGCUUGGAUAGCUUGCUAUGUUAGUGAACUAGUCGAGCGAUUGAGAUCUGUAGUAACUUGUUGCUGUUCGGGACUUUGA
Molecule: ribosomal RNA, 453 nt
Filed under: uncultured Oomycota
Lineage: Eukaryota; Oomycota
Description: LSU rRNA
Rfam family: Eukaryotic large subunit ribosomal RNA
Source: RNAcentral